Molecule: ribosomal RNA, 253 nt
Filed under: uncultured bacterium
Lineage: Bacteria
Description: partial 16S ribosomal RNA
Rfam family: Bacterial small subunit ribosomal RNA
Source: RNAcentral
UACGUAGGGUGCAAGCGUUGUCCGGAAUUAUUGGGCGUAAAGAGCUCGUAGGCGGUCUGUCGCGUCUGCUGUGAAAAUCCAGGGCUCAACCCUGGACCUGCAGUGGGUACGGGCAGACUAGAGUGCGGUAGGGGAGAUCGGAAUUCCUGGUGUAGCGGUGAAAUGCGCAGAUAUCGUAAGGAAGACCAGUGGCGAAGGCGAGUCUCUGGACAGUUACCGACGCUGAGGCACGAAGGUCAGGGGAGCAAACGGG